RNAcentral lists this ribosomal RNA (540 nucleotides) under Stenotrophomonas maltophilia. RNAcentral's name for it is "bacterial SSU rRNA". It matches the Rfam family "Bacterial small subunit ribosomal RNA", at positions 43 to 563 of the family's 1533-position model. Lineage: Bacteria; Pseudomonadati; Pseudomonadota; Gammaproteobacteria; Lysobacterales; Lysobacteraceae. The record is from RNAcentral.
CAGGCCUAACACAUGCAAGUCGAACGGCAGCACAGGAGAGCUUGCUCUCUGGGUGGCGAGUGGCGGACGGGUGAGGAAUACAUCGGAAUCUACUUUUUCGUGGGGGAUAACGUAGGGAAACUUACGCUAAUACCGCAUACGACCUACGGGUGAAAGCAGGGGACCUUCGGGCCUUGCGCGAUUGAAUGAGCCGAUGUCGGAUUAGCUAGUUGGCGGGGUAAAGGCCCACCGAGGCGACGAUCCGUAGCUGGUCUGAGAGGAUGAUCAGCCACACUGGAACUGAGACACGGUCCAGACUCCUACGGGAGGCAGCAGUGGGGAAUAUUGGACAAUGGGCGCAAGCCUGAUCCAGCCAUACCGCGUGGGUGAAGAAGGCCUUCGGGUUGUAAAGCCCUUUUGUUGGGAAAGAAAUCCAGCCCGGCUUAAUACCUGGUUGGGGAUGACGGUACCCAAAAGAAAUAAGCACCGGCUAACUUUCUUGCCACAGCCGCGGUAAUACCAAAGGGUGCAAGCGUUACUUCGGAAUUACUUGGGGCGUAA